GGGAAUGUGGCUUAGUGGUAAAGUGCUUGUCUAGCAUGCACGAAGCCCUGGGUUCAAUUCCUCAGUACCA
Dipodomys ordii (Ord's kangaroo rat) is the source of this 70-nucleotide non-coding RNA. The record is from Rfam. Lineage: Eukaryota; Metazoa; Chordata; Mammalia; Rodentia; Heteromyidae.